AUUGAACGCUGGCGGCAUGCUUUACACAUGCAAGUCGAACGGUAACAGGCCUUCGGGUGCUGACGAGUGGCGAACGGGUGAGUAAUGCAUCGGAACGUACCCAGAGGUGGGGGAUAACGCAGCGAAAGCUGUGCUAAUACCGCAUGUGAUCUGAGGAUGAAAGCGGGGGACCGAGCAGCAAUGUUUGGCCUCGCGCCUUUGGAGCGGCCGAUGUCGGAUUAGCUAGUUGGUGGGGUAAAGGCCUACCAAGGUGACGAUCCGUAGCUGGUCUGAGAGGACGACCAGCCACACUGGGACUGAGACACGGCCCAGACUCCUACGGGAGGCAGCAGUGGGGAAUUUUGGACAAUGGGCGCAAGCCUGAUCCAGCAACGCCGCGUGCGGGAAGAAGGCCUUCGGGUUGUAAACCGCUUUUGGCAGGAACGAAACGGUGUCCGCUAAUACCGGGCGCUAAUGACGGUACCUGCAGAAUAAGCACCGGCUAACUACGUG
This 492-nucleotide ribosomal RNA is filed under the name uncultured bacterium. RNAcentral's name for it is "partial 16S ribosomal RNA". It matches the Rfam family "Bacterial small subunit ribosomal RNA", at positions 29 to 507 of the family's 1533-position model. The record is from RNAcentral.